This 193-nucleotide small nucleolar RNA is filed under the name Peromyscus maniculatus bairdii (prairie deer mouse). RNAcentral describes it as "Small nucleolar RNA SNORA74 (ENSPEMG00000003033.2)". It matches the Rfam family "Small nucleolar RNA SNORA74". From Rfam's summary of the family: U19 belongs to the H/ACA class of snoRNAs. snoRNAs bind a number of proteins (including dyskerin, Gar1p and Nop10p in the case of the H/ACA class) to form snoRNP complexes. This class are thought to guide the sites of modification of uridines to pseudouridines by forming direct base pairing interactions with substrate RNAs. The record is from Rfam by way of RNAcentral. Lineage: Eukaryota; Metazoa; Chordata; Mammalia; Rodentia; Cricetidae.
CCCAACAGUUGUCAGCUAUCCAGGCUGCAUGGUGCCUGUGAUUGUGUUACAGUGUUGGGAGAGUAAAGGCUGUCUUAAGGGUUGGCUCUGAGCACUGUUUUGGUGGUCAUGCUGACUACCUUCAGGCAGUGUUUGCAUCCCUGAGAGUGGAAGAACUCCUUGUGGAGUUGGUCCUGGUCUAGGUGCAAACAGU